GACGAACGCUGGCGGCGUGCUUAACACAUGCAAGUCGAACGGUAAGGCCCUUCGGGGUACACGAGUGGCGAACGGGUGAGUAACACGUGGGUGAUCUGCCCUGCACUUCGGGAUAAGCCUGGGAAACUGGGUCUAAUACCGGAUAGGACCACUGCAUGCAUGGGUGGGGGCGGCAAGCUUUUGCGGUGUGGGAUGGGCCCGCGGCCUAUCAGCUUGUUGGUGGGGUGAUGGGCUACCAAGGCGACGACGGGUAGCCGGCCUGGUAGGGUGACCGGCCACACUGGGACUGAGAUACGGCCCAGACUCCUACGGGAGGCAGCAGUGGGGAAUAUUGCACAAUGGGCGCAAGCCUGAUGCAGCGACGCCGCGUGAGGGAUGACGGCCUUCGGGUUGUAAACCUCUUUCAGCACCGACGAAGCGCAAGUGACGGUAGGUGCAGAAGAAGGACCGGCCAACUACGUGCCAGCAGCCGCCGUAA
Molecule: ribosomal RNA, 478 nt
Filed under: uncultured bacterium
Lineage: Bacteria
Description: partial 16S ribosomal RNA
Rfam family: Bacterial small subunit ribosomal RNA
Source: RNAcentral